AACGGAAUGAUAACGAAAAGUCCUUAAAGGUCCAAAGGUCUCGUUACAGAGCAACAAGUAAAUCUAGUGAAAUAUACGAAUGAAAGAGAUGUCGAUGCCUGAAGAGACAAUAUUCAGAUUUUAGAGACCGGACAGAUUUUAUUCACCACAUUUGACGACAGGGCGCAAUCAGGUUGACAACCUGGGUCAGAAGGAAACAUUUGGCCAUACUUCUAUUAUCUAAGGUUCACGAUCAAACCACUUACGACAUAUUUGUUCUGAAUAUAUCACAACCAAUUUGGCCACAUUUGGUAAAUUGCCAGCAGACUCUAAAAUCACCCACCCCGGAUGUUGGCAGUCCGGGAUCAGAUCUCUGACUUAAGGUCAGACCCCACAUGACCGCAUCGAUGAUGGCCGUCUGUCUGGCGUCACACAGAGAGCGAUUAGGACAAUGGAAGUGAGCAGGCUAGUCCCUACAUCUCUGCACCAACACACCAAACUGCCCGACUAGUUUGGUUUAGGUUUUGACGGACACGGAUCGUGUGAGGUGCAGUGUAGAGUUUAUUUUUUAAUAUUUUGUUCAUCUAUUUAUCAUUUUAUAUUAUAUAAUAUUAGUACAAUUUUAUUUUGUAAAAUGGACACAAAGAAACUAAUUGAAGAGGUCAGAAAAGAAAGUUUCCUGUGUUGUAUGAUUAGACCAGUGAAAAACACAGAAAUACGGCAUAUAAAGACAGAAUAAUUUAAUUAAAUAAUAAUCAAAUAAAUUUAUCACCUUUCGACACA
Molecule: long non-coding RNA, 762 nt
Organism: Cimex lectularius (bed bug)
Lineage: Eukaryota; Metazoa; Arthropoda; Insecta; Hemiptera; Cimicidae
Exons: 3
Source: RefSeq, a predicted model, not a curated record